UAAGAAUGUUUUUGUAAUUCAUAGGUCCUUACCAAUGCCAAGGAAGGGCGCAGUUUCAGCGCCCUUAUACAUGGCAUGGUUGGAGACGCUUACAAGGGAUAUGCCACCGACGAUUUUAGUUCGCGGAAAUCAUACAUCGGUAUUGACAUUCUACUCGUAGUCCAGCGAGAAUAAUCUAACUAUAUCUGAGAUUUAACGCCCGUUUUCGCCAAGUUUGGAAAGUGGGCUUGCGUCGUUCAUUAGCAGAAUGAAGAAAUGGACGAAGCGAAUUGGAGAUUCUAAUAGGUGACUGAUAAAGUUGCUAAACUCGAAGAUUGUAAUGACGAGCACAACGAAAGAACCUUAGGGAGCUCAACCAUCGAUAUGACCCAACAGGAUUCUUGAAUGUGUGCGAAUAUGACUUGGGUGUCCCGAUUGAAAAAUAUACUGAACAUUAGCGAUGAGAAAAUACUAAGUAAAAGAAGAGUUUCUUGACAGAAUGAGCGAACCUUUUACCUCUGAUCGAGCAAUGAAUGACAAAAACAAUCUAGAAAGAAAUCCCAGUUUGAUAAUAGAUAGUGUUAGAUAUGUCAAAUUUUAGAAAAAAUAGAAUAAUAAAAUAGAAGUGGUUGAGAAAGACAUAAAUAGUGAAAUAGUGAUUGAAAAAUGAGAAGAAAAAUAAUAAAGCAGGAAGAAAAUAGGGACAUAUUUUACGGGAAAGUUUUAUUGUGAUUGAAUAAGAUUGCUCGGAUUAGAAAUAUGUAUUAGCGUUCUUAUUGUAAAUAACUCGACUAUUUUUUAUUAAGUUUAAAAAUGUCAAAGUUUCUCUAAAACAAUGUACAAUGUAACUAUUUAAGAUUUUAGAUAUUAUUAAAAUUAUUUAAAAAGA
Molecule: long non-coding RNA, 868 nt
Organism: Vollenhovia emeryi
Lineage: Eukaryota; Metazoa; Arthropoda; Insecta; Hymenoptera; Formicidae
Exons: 2
Source: RefSeq, a predicted model, not a curated record